RNAcentral lists this ribosomal RNA (329 nucleotides) under uncultured eukaryote. Its description in RNAcentral is "partial 18S ribosomal RNA". It matches the Rfam family "Eukaryotic small subunit ribosomal RNA", at positions 1470 to 1796 of the family's 1831-position model. The record is from RNAcentral.
CCCUUAGAUGUUCUGGGCUGCACGCGCGCUACACUGAUGCGCUCAACGAGUUUACGAACUUGCCCGGAAGGGUUGGUUAAUCUUUUUAAAACGCAUCGUGAUGGGGAUAGAUUAUUGCAAUUAUUCAUCUUCAACGAGGAAUUCCUAGUAAACGCAAGUCAUCAGCUUGCAUUGAUUACGUCCCUGCCCUUUGUACACACCGCCCGUCGCACCUACCGAUUGAAUGGUCCGGUGAAAUCUUCGGAUCUGAGAGAUGUCUGAUUAAUUUCGGACGCCUUUUGGAAAAGUUGUUUAAACCUUACCAUUUAGAGGAAGGUGAAGUCGUAACA